UGGGGAAUAUUGGGCAAUGGGCGAAAGCCUGACCCAGCGACGCCGCGUGAGGGAAGAAGGUCUUCGGAUUGUAAACCUUAGUCAACAGGGAAGAAACAAAUGACGGUACCUGUGGAGGAAGCCACGGCUAACUACGUGCCAGCAGCCGCGGUAAUACGUAGGUGGCUAGCGUUAUCCGGAUUUACUGGGUGUAAAGGGUGUGUAGGCGGGGAGGCAAGUCAGAUGUGAAAUUUAUGAGCUUAACUCAUGAACUGCAUUUGAAACUGUCUUUCUUGAGGAUGGGAGAGGUAAAUGGAAUUCCCGGUGUAGCGGUGAAAUGCGUAGAGAUCGGGAGGAACACCAGUGGCGAAGGCGGUUUACUGGACCAUUACUGACGCUGAUACACGAAAGCGUGGGGAGCAAACAGG
RNAcentral lists this ribosomal RNA (407 nucleotides) under uncultured prokaryote. Its description in RNAcentral is "bacterial SSU rRNA". It matches the Rfam family "Bacterial small subunit ribosomal RNA", at positions 355 to 776 of the family's 1533-position model. RNAcentral also lists the same sequence under 1 other name. The record is from RNAcentral.